RNAcentral lists this ribosomal RNA (110 nucleotides) under uncultured bacterium. Its description in RNAcentral is "partial 16S ribosomal RNA". It matches the Rfam family "Bacterial small subunit ribosomal RNA", at positions 1373 to 1482 of the family's 1533-position model. The record is from RNAcentral.
CCCGGGUCUUGUACACACCGCCCGUCACACCAUGGGAGCGGGUUCUGCCAGAAGUAGUUAGCCUAACCGCAAGGAGGGCGAUUACCACGGCAGGGUUCGUGACUGGGGUG